This 72-nucleotide transfer RNA is filed under the name Armatimonadota bacterium. RNAcentral describes it as "Armatimonadetes bacterium (fermentation metagenome) tRNA-Thr". It matches the Rfam family "tRNA". From Rfam's summary of the family: Transfer RNA (tRNA) molecules are approximately 80 nucleotides in length. Their secondary structure includes four short double-helical elements and three loops (D, anti-codon, and T loops). The record is from RNAcentral. Lineage: Bacteria; Bacillati; Armatimonadota.
GCCUGGGUGGCUCAACGGUAGAGCAGCGGUCUUGUAAACCGCAGGUUAUGGGUUCGAUUCCCAUCCCAGGCC